This 254-nucleotide ribosomal RNA is filed under the name uncultured bacterium. Its description in RNAcentral is "partial 16S ribosomal RNA". It matches the Rfam family "Bacterial small subunit ribosomal RNA", at positions 15 to 263 of the family's 1533-position model. The record is from RNAcentral.
GAUCAUGGCUCAGGACGAACGCUGGCGGCGCGCCUAACACAUGCAAGUCGAACGGAGCUUAGAGAGCUUGCUUUUUAAGCUUAGUGGCGAACGGGUGAGUAACGCGUGAGUAACCUGCCCUAGAGUGGGGGGACAACAGUUGGAAACGACUGCUAAUACCGCAUAAGCCCACGGUGCCGCAUGACACUGAGGGAAAAGGAUUUAUUCGCUUUAGGAUGGACUCGCGUCCAAUUAGCUAGUUGGUGAGGUAACGG